This 76-nucleotide transfer RNA is filed under the name Marmota monax (woodchuck). Its description in RNAcentral is "tRNA.Met". The stretch from base 12 to 68 matches the Rfam family "tRNA", at positions 9 to 63 of the family's 71-position model. From Rfam's summary of the family: Transfer RNA (tRNA) molecules are approximately 80 nucleotides in length. The record is from RNAcentral. Lineage: Eukaryota; Metazoa; Chordata; Mammalia; Rodentia; Sciuridae.
GCUGAAGAUACAGCUCAGUAGGUAGAGUGUUUGCCUCAUAUGCACAAGGUUCUGGGUUCAAUCCCCAGCUUAGGCU